AUGGCCAUGAUUACUGAUGGCAUUUGUAAACUCCCACCUUAUAAAUUUCUUUUUUGUUUUUGUUUGUUUUUUUCUGGCAUGUGGAACUUCCCCAAUCAGGGAUCGAACCUCCACCCCUUGCAGUGGAAGCUCCAAGUCUUAACCACCACCAAGGAAGUCCCACCUUGUAGAUUUCUAAUCCAGUGGCUUGAAAUCCCAGAUCUUGCUUCUGGCGAUGGCAACACCAAGAUUCAUCAUAGGUUUCCUAGAAUUUCUGCCUUCAAGGACCUGCCAGCCUGCAGGUGCCAUGUAGACUCACCCCAAAGGCUGCCAGUUGUCGCUCCACAAGUGAGUCUUCAGUCUUUUCUGUUUGGAUGUGCCCAGAGACCGAUGCCUCGCUGGCAGCUUCCCGCUUCCAGAGCCUAAAGUUCAAUCCGUUUAAAAGUCAUGACUUAAAAGGCAACCACUCCCAAAAGACAGUCGUUGACCCCCAAGGGUGCUGAAACACAACUACUAAACACAAUCAGCACACUCCACAAGGAACCGUGACACAAGGAAACAAAACUGGGUGUUGCUUUCUGAGUUGAUCUCAGGCAGGAGUCCCCUUGGCAGGAGGGCAGAGCAGCAUAGCGUAGAGAUGUCAGACAGGGCCAAGGUAGAGAUGGUGUCAGAGAGGUGGGCACCCCGAGCAAAGGCACGGGGGUGGGACGAAUGCUUGAGGGCUUCCAGGAGUCUAUCACUGUACACAAGAGAACGGGGUACAAACGUGUCUACGCGGAAUGCUCAGGACAACCCUGCAGUAGAUCCCACUUGGUGACUCACUUGCAAAAGGCCACCCUUAUGCAAAGGGCUGUCUGGCCCUAGGGCAAUGCAGACAGAAUUCCUGGUGAUACUAAGGUUGUUGUUGUUUCUCUCCAGUGCUCUGUCUACUCACCAUGUUUGUGGUGCAACGGGGGAAAAGUUUACCUGCAACUUACUUCUCAUUAAUUUAGAAAAUGCUUCUCAUCUUCAUUAUUGGAAAACUAUUCAACAUCACUGGGACAGCGUGGGUAUAGGAAUCAACUUCUUCAAAUGUUGAGUUUCAUGAAAUCUAAAUAGAGGUCGAGUAUUUCUGAUGAAAAUUCAUCAUCUGAAUUGAGAUGUGCUACAGAAAUACACACCAGAUUUCAAAGACGGAGCGUAAAAAAGUUCUUUCCUAUAUUGAUCAUAUGUUGAAUUAAUAUUUUGGAUAUAUUGACGUGAGACGUUAGAAUUGGUGUCAUCUGUAUCUGUUCCCUCUUCCUUUUUCAUCGUGGCUACUAGAAUAUAUGAAGCUGCCUGUGUGGCUCAUGAGCUUCCCAGGUGGCUUAGGGGCCAAGAACCUACCUGCCAAUGCAUGAGACACAGGUUCAAUCCCUGGGUCAGGAAGAUCCCCUGGAGAAGGAAAUGGCGACCCACUCCAGUGUUCUUGUCUGGAAAAUUCCCUGGACAGAGGGGCCUGGUUGCCUGCAGUCCCUGGGGUUGCAGAGUCAGACACAACUGAGUGACGGAACAUGUGGCUGAUGUUGUUUCUACUGGACUAGCUGCUCUGUGUGUUCCUGUUUCUGCCCAUGGCAGGCAGGCUUGAUGCAGAGGCUUGAACCACAGUUGAGAUGGGGAGACAGUGUUGUGCUGGGUAUCAUGGAGAUGGAUGAGGAACAUUUUCCUAAGGCCGAAAGAGCUUUGAGGACAGUGCCUGGAGCCGUCCAGUAUAGUGUGAAGUGCUUUCCCCUAUCUGGGCUAUCUCAACUUCGAUGGGACAAACUGUGCCAGUGGUGGGAAUUCUAGUUAGACCUGGGGGUACUACCCCUUAGCUACCUGCCCCUCAGGCCGGUUACCCUUGUCUUCAGCUGUCACAGGAAACAGGGUCUCGAAAGUGUUUAUGCUUGUUCUCCGGCCCUUUCAUUUCACGGUGAGAACACAAGGCACUGGCUCAAGUCACCCAGAGUGACGUGGCAAAGCCGUGCUGGCCUCCUGACCCCCGACAGGUGUCUCCUAUCCUAGGAGAUGCUUGUUUCUCCUCCAUCUCCCACCUUUUCCCUGUCUCGGGGCAAGAGGCUGACGACCUAAAUUCCAGCCCUAGUUCUGCCACUGAUUAAUGAAUUAAAUAUCUACUAGGUACCUUCUGUAUGUCAGGCACUAUUUGAGGGGCUGAGGGUACCGCACGGGGAUAACAGCCAAUACACAGGUAAGUAAGUAAUUUUCUAAAAUCAUAAUUGCUGCAAGGAAAAGAAAAACAACAACUCAGUGGAGAUGAAUAACAACAGUGAGCUAUGAGCUACUUCAGUUACAAUGGUCAGGAAAGGUCCCUAGUGAGGGGACAUUUGUGCUGAGAUCUGAUUGGCAAGUAGAUCUGGGAGCCGAGCAUUCUGGGCAAAAAUAACAGAAACUAUAAAGGUCCUGAGGCAUGACCCCAGGUGGCCCACUCAAGCAUCAGAAGGAAGAUGAGGAUGAGAGGGGGCAGGAAAUGAAAAGAGGCACGGAGCAAACUUGCUGUGUGCUGUUGGGCCUAGAGCCUGCCCUCUCUGUGCUUUGCUUUCCCCAUCUAACAUAACAGAGAUUCUGCUAGAUGGCCUCUCAGCUGCAGAUCGCCCCCCUCACUGCCCCAUUCUCUCUCUUUUUGGCAUUAAAGAGUUCUGUGACCUGUUGCUUCUCCUCUAUUGGUAGCUGGCAGCCUAGAACAUCCCAGGCACUGUGGUUUCUGCCUUUGCCUCCCUGUGACACAUUCCCAUGGGCUGGAACACUUGCCCGGCUGUUCUGUGGGCGCCUGGCUCACUGUGGCCUUCUCUGUGUCUCUCUUGGGGACACCUGAGGUAGCCACACGAAGUGUUUGGAUUAGUCCAGCAGUACAGCUGCAUUUCCCAAAAGGCGGGUAUACAAAAUAGCAAGGCCAGAAACGGUUCAGGUUUCAUGACAGAAGACACCAAGACCCAAGAACGAUAGAAAUCCCUAAGGGAGAGAGGGACAGAGUACCCAGAGAGCCCCAUAACUGCCCAGCACCUAGAAAAUGGGGUCAGUCACAUCCCCUUCCAGUCAAACUCAGAGGAGGGCAGCCACCAGGAUCCAAAUCUAUUAGGGAUUCUGGGGAGUUCCCUCUGAGGGAUGGGUUCCUGCCCUUCCACAGUCAGGAAGCCUCAUUCCUGGUCUCUGGCUACUCCCCAGCCCAACCAUGCCCAGAACACUCUUGCUUCCUCUUGUGUUUUGUGGUACCAUCCUCCCCACAAUAGCGGGGAAAGAAAUCUGUGCCCCCAGGCUUCUGGAGGGGCAAAUAUCACACCCCUCCAGUUCCGAAGAGGGACCACAGGGUCUCCAGCUCCCUCACACAGCACCCGGUACCCUCCUCUACAUGGAUACCUUCCACAACCCAUGAAUUAGAAAGCAAAGACCUCAGCCCUCUGGGGAGUCAGGCGUUCUGAGAGUCCAGAGAACCGUCCUUCCCUCACCCCCGGAAACCUAGAUCUUAUAUCCCUUUGUGGCUCAGAAGCCCAAGGAGUUCAGCUCCCUGGGGAACCCAGACCACCCCUCCUCCAUGUCAGAAUCCCUAGUGUGAAGGAGAUCGCCUUCAUCAGCAACCAGGGCCUCCACCUCCUCCUCCCCAGGGGGACUAGACACCUAUUGGAUCUAGUUUCUACUCUUGAGAGACCAAGAUGGCCGCCUUUGAGGAGUCCAAACCCUCAACUCCCUUGAGGAGUUCCAUAGUCUGAUGGUACCCAGAGAAAUCAGGAGUCCCGUCCCCAGAACUCUAUUUCCCUUCAGGACCCAGGAAUCCUGGUGACCAGACGUCACCCACUCGAGGCCCUAGUCAGAGCCCUCAUUCCCUUCAAGCACCCAGGAUUCUGACUGGCAGACCCCUUGCUCUGUGAUCCUUCAGGCCCAGACAUCCCAUGCUAGAGUCUGGACCCCGUGCCCUCUCCCUCUCACCGGGUCUUGAGUCCUCCGGCCCUGGCAGAGCCAGGCAGCUGGGACCCUGGGCACACCCGGAAGCCCCGGCCCUCAGCCCAGCUCUCACUGCGCGGGCACCUGCGGCGGCAGCACUGCCUCGGCGUCCGCGCGCAUCUCGACAACCGCCUGCACCACGAUGGCGUGCGCCGCGCGCCGUGGAUGCUGUGGGAUGCCACCACAACUCUAAUCUCCAGCUGCUCC
RNAcentral lists this long non-coding RNA (4140 nucleotides) under Ovis aries (sheep). Its description in RNAcentral is "lncRNA (ENSOARG00000026929.1)". The record is from RNAcentral. Lineage: Eukaryota; Metazoa; Chordata; Mammalia; Artiodactyla; Bovidae.